AUUGAACGCUGGCGGCAGGCCUAACACAUGCAAGUCGAACGGUAGCACAGAGGAGCUUGCUCCUUGGGUGACGAGUGGCGGACGGGUGAGUAAUGUCUGGGAAACUGCCCGAUGGAGGGGGAUAACUACUGGAAACGGUAGCUAAUACCGCAUAACGUCUUCGGACCAAAGUGGGGGACCUUCGGGCCUCACACCAUCGGAUGUGCCCAGAUGGGAUUAGCUAGUAGGUGGGGUAAUGGCUCACCUAGGCGACGAUCCCUAGCUGGUCUGAGAGGAUGACCAGCCACACUGGAACUGAGACACGGCCCAGAAUCCUACGGGAGGCAGCAGUGGGGAAUAUUGCACAAUGGGCGCAAGCCUGAUGCAGCCAUGCCGCGUGUAUGAAGAAGGCCUUCGGGUUGUAAAGUACUUUCAGCGGGGAGGAAGGCGUUAAGGUUAAUAACCUUGGCGAUUGACGUUACCCGCAGAAGAAGCACCGGCUAACUCCGUGCCAGCCGCCGCAGUAA
This 506-nucleotide ribosomal RNA is filed under the name uncultured bacterium. Its description in RNAcentral is "partial 16S ribosomal RNA". It matches the Rfam family "Bacterial small subunit ribosomal RNA", at positions 30 to 523 of the family's 1533-position model. The record is from RNAcentral.